Molecule: unclassified non-coding RNA, 421 nt
Filed under: soil metagenome
Description: partial contains 5.8S ribosomal RNA, internal transcribed spacer 2, and large subunit ribosomal RNA
Rfam family: 5.8S ribosomal RNA (bases 1-120)
Source: RNAcentral
GAUGAAGAACGUAGCGAAAUGCGAUACGUAAUGUGAAUUGCAGAAUUCAGUGAAUCAUCGAAUCUUUGAACGCAUAUUGCGCUCUUUGGUAUUCCGAAGAGCAUGCUUGUUUGAGUAUCAGUAAACACCUCAACCUCUUCUUGAUUUUUCAAAAGGAGGGUGGACUUGAGCUAUCCCAACAACCUUUACCGGUCGGCGGGCGGCUUGAAAUGCAGGUGCAGCUGGACUUUUAUCUGAGCUAAAAGCAUAUCUAUUUAGUCCUCGUCAAACAGGAUUAUUACUUUUGCUGCAGCUAACAUAAAGGAUAAUUGUCCUCUAUGCUGACUGAUGCAGGAUUUUACGACACUUUAUGUGUUGUUCAACUCGAUCUCAAAUCAAGUAAGACUACCCGCUGAACUUAAGCAUAUCAAUAAGCGGAGGA